RNAcentral lists this ribosomal RNA (1286 nucleotides) under Salmonella enterica. Its description in RNAcentral is "partial 23S ribosomal RNA". It matches the Rfam family "Bacterial large subunit ribosomal RNA", at positions 1 to 1218 of the family's 2925-position model. The record is from RNAcentral. Lineage: Bacteria; Pseudomonadati; Pseudomonadota; Gammaproteobacteria; Enterobacterales; Enterobacteriaceae.
GGGUUGUGAGGUUAAGCGACUAAGCGUACACGGUGGAUGCCCUGGCAGUCAGAGGCGAUGAAGGGCGUGCUAAUCUGCGAUAAGCGCCGGUAAGGUGAUAUGAACCGUUAUAACCGGCGAUACCCGAAUGGGGAAACCCAGUGUGUUUCGACACACUAUCAUUAACUGAAUCCAUAGGUUAAUGAGGCGAACCGGGGGAACUGAAACAUCUAAGUACCCCGAGGAAAAGAAAUCAACCGAGAUUCCCCCAGUAGCGGCGAGCGAACGGGGAGGAGCCCAGAGUCUGAAUCAGCAUGUGUGUUAGUGGAAGCGUCUGGAAAGGCGCGCGAUACAGGGUGACAGCCCCGUACACAAAAGCGCAUGUGCUGUGAGCUCGAUGAGUAGGGCGGGACACGUGGUAUCCUGUCUGAAUAUGGGGGGACCAUCCUCCAAGGCUAAAUACUCCUGACUGACCGAUAGUGAACCAGUACCGUGAGGGAAAGGCGAAAAGAACCCCGGCGAGGGGAGUGAAAAAGAACCUGAAACCGUGUACGUACAAGCAGUGGGAGCCCCACCACUAAGCCAGUGGUGAACUCCACAUACGCAUCCUUUGCUGAGGAUACGGUUAACGGAGCGAAAGCGACGUUCAACCGCAAAAGAAGCAGAGGGGGCUUAGUGGUGGGGUGACUGCGUACCUUUUGUAUAAUGGGUCAGCGACUUAUAUUCUGUAGCAAGGUUAACCGUAUAGGGGAGCCGGAGGGAAACCGAGUCUUAACCGGGCGUUAAGUUGCAGGGUAUAGACCCGAAACCCGGUGAUCUAGCCAUGGGCAGGUUGAAGGUUGGGUAACACUAACUGGAGGACCGAACCGACUAAUGUUGAAAAAUUAGCGGAUGACCUGUGGCUGGGGGUGAAAGGCCAAUCAAACCGGGAGAUAGCUGGUUCUCCCCGAAAGCUAUUUAGGUAGCGCCUCGUGAACUCAUCUCCGGGGGUAGAGCACUGUUUCGGCUAGGGGGCCAUCCCGGCUUACCAACCCGAUGCAAACUGCGAAUACCGGAGAAUGUUAUCACGGGAGACACACGGCGGGUGCUAACGUCCGUCGUGAAGAGGGAAACAACCCAGACCGCCAGCUAAGGUCCCAAAGUUAUGGUUAAGUGGGAAACGAUGUGGGAAGGCCCAGACAGCCAGGAUGUUGGCUUAGAAGCAGCCAUCAUUUAAAGAAAGCGUAAUAGCUCACUGGUCGAGUCGGCCUGCGCGGAAGAUGUAACGGGGCUAAACCAUGCACCGAAGCUGCGGCAGCGACACUGUG